UCGCUAUCCAAUCCAUUAUCGCUUUGGUCUCGGGUUGUUGAUGCCGAUUGUACUAAAAAUACAAUCGAGAUCGUGGAUACCAGGAUUCUUCGUAAUUUCCAUAACGUACAACUCGCGACCCUGCACGGAGGAUCCUAUGCUGUAGAGUCUCGUGAUAUUGGGAUAAUUGGUUCUUAACUCCAUCAGAUCUUAUCACUUCGUCAACUGUACUUUCUCCUGUAUCGUACGAAUGUACAAUCACAAUUGUUAUCAAAAUAAAACGCAAAGUUUUACAGAAACAAUUAUUUAUAAAUGUGAAAUGCAUUCUUGUAUAGUUAUAUAAGAUAACGCAAAAUAAUAAAAAUAAGAGACAGAUAUGUUACAAAACACAAGGUACAGAGAAAAUGAAAAAACUGGUACAAAUAAUCGGAUGUGUAACAAUAAUGUACGUCAUUGAUAUUUAAGAGGAAAAGGAUAAAUAUCGAGUAAGUUACUCAUUGCUCAAGAAGAAAACAAUAUUUUUAUUUCUAGUUUUAAACAAUACAUGCUUUGUAAGGAAAAUAUUAGAAUAUACAUCGCUAUACAGAUUAUG
Molecule: long non-coding RNA, 571 nt
Organism: Pogonomyrmex barbatus (red harvester ant)
Lineage: Eukaryota; Metazoa; Arthropoda; Insecta; Hymenoptera; Formicidae
Source: RefSeq, a predicted model, not a curated record